CUGCUCGGCGCACGCCCACCCCGGACCCCCUGCGCACGCCCGGCCCCUCACACUCGGCUCUCACGUCUCUUGUGCGCGCACAGCUUCACCCACACGUGCCUUGCACACGGGCGGCCCCGGACACGCACGCCAGCCUCCACCCCGCUGCCUGUGCCGCGCGUGUGCCUCGCCGCUGUGUGUCUGUCCCACACACCGCUCCCGUGUGUCGCAGGCAUACCUGCGGGGGUGAGCAGACCCCCCCCCCAGCCACACACCAUGAAUGCCUGCACAGGCCAAUAGCUUCCUCGUUGGGGGACCCCGGCCCCCUACACCCUCGUGGGCACCCGGCUUCAUGACCUCCUAACCCCUGUGCUGGCCCAGGCAAGCCCCCAGAGGCCUUGUCCCUUGUGGGGGAGCCUGGGUGGCUCCCGGGAGCACAGGCUGGGGAGACUGGCCCUGCCAGCCUCCCCCUCCUCUUCACGCCCACCCCCACACACCGCCUCCCUGUGUCCUCUCCUCCUGCGCGCUCUCCAGGCAGGGGUGCCCUCUUGCCCUUUGCUGUCACAGGGUCCCAUUCCCCCUCAGUGUGUGCCCACCACUUGGGCUGGUCCAGAGCUGGCCUGAGCCAGCAGGUGUCACCGUGACCGGCUAGAAAUGGAAAAACGGAAAGACCAUUUGGGUGCUGGCCGUCACCCGAGCCCCGCGGAUGAAGGGGCAGGCACCCCCCCUCCCCGCCCCCCGGGAGGAAGGGAGGGCCUGGGAACUACUGCUCCAUCUCUUGCUCCCCGCUCCCCCUCCACCACCGGGUCCAGAGCCUUGGGAAGGGCAGUGGGCAGGGCGUGGAUGGAGUCAGAGGCUCUUACUCGGGAGGCGCGGAGUUGCCAGCCCCAGCCGAGCCUGGCCCUGCCUGUUUGGUUUGGCUCUCAGCACGGCCUCACGGGAGAGGACGGUCUGUCUGGAGGCUGCACGUGGCCGGCUGCGGGGCAUGGCGCGACUCGGGGAGCCCGUGGGAGCCUGGCUGGCCC
RNAcentral lists this long non-coding RNA (1004 nucleotides) under Ovis aries (sheep). RNAcentral describes it as "lncRNA (ENSOARG00000026664.1)". The record is from RNAcentral. Lineage: Eukaryota; Metazoa; Chordata; Mammalia; Artiodactyla; Bovidae.